CUAGGAGGAAAAUUUCUAGCAGUUAUAUAUCCUGUAACUCCUAUCAAAAUUUAUUUGUGGUUUUUCAUUAUCUUAGUCCUAAUUCCAAAUGUCAUUGCAUCUGCCAUUAUUUUGUCAGGUAAGUUACUUUUCCUCCAAACUAUGCAAUAUUUUGUACACCUUUAUAUUGCCAAUAAAUAUUUAUUUAAUUUUGAGCUCUGUUAUGUGUCAGGCACUGUGUAAAGUGCUUGAGAUAUAUUAGUAAAUAGAACACACACCCAAAACAACAAUUCCUGCUGUCUUCAAAGUUAAUUUCUAGCAGGUGAAUAAAGUAAGACUAAAUAAAGGUAACAGUGGAACAGGUUGUAAUAUGUGUAGGGUAGCAAUGUGAUAUUCUUUGGGAAGGUAUUUAGCAACAUUUUGAAGGGGAUGGAAAAGUCAUAGUUCCCUGGGGAACUGUUCCAGACAGAAAAAGUAAAGUAAAGCCAUAAGACUUUUGGUGUUUGCUAUAGAUAAAGCAGAGUAAGAAUAGAGAAGAGUAAUGUAAUAGGGGAAAUACAGCAUCCCCCCAUUACCUGUGGUUUCAGUUACACAAGGUCAACUGUUUUCCAAAAAUAUUAAAUGGAAAAUUUUAGAAAUUAACAACUUAUAAGUUUUAAAUUACACACUGCUCUGAAUAGUGUAACAAAAUCUUGUCCCAUUUUUUUGUCAUCCUGCCCAAAAUUUGAAUCAUCCCUUUGUCUAAUGCAUCCACAACCUGCCUAUUCAUCUGAUAAUGGAGCUGCCUCUAUUAUCAGAUUGACGGUCACGGUAUCUGUGUUCUAAUAAUUUUUAUUUUACUUAACAGUACCCCAAAGCACAAAAGUAGUAUGUUGGCAAUUUGGAUAUACCAAAGAGAAGCCAUAAAGUCUGCCUUUCAAGUAAAAAGGUCAAACUUUCUCAAUGGUUUGCAUGUAUGUAUAGGAAAAAGAAACAUAGUAUAUAUAGGGUUUGGUAUUAUCCAUAGCAUCCACUGGGGGAUAUUUUCCAUGGAUAGCAGGAAUCUUGUAAGCUAUUUAAAAACUGCCUUUCACUCUGAAUGCAAUAGAAAGAGAGAGGUGGCAGCAUUGAACUUUAAUGGCUGAAUUACUGAUUUCCAUACUGAGAAUAAACUUUUAGGAGACCAGGAUAAAAGCAGGAAGACUUUUCAGGAAAAUCUUGUAGAAAUCAACUAGAAAUGAUGAUGGCUUAAGCCUGAUGAAAACAGUGUGGAGUUGUGGGCAAGGUGGAUAUUUUGGAAGUUAAGCC
RNAcentral lists this long non-coding RNA (1266 nucleotides) under Marmota monax (woodchuck). Lineage: Eukaryota; Metazoa; Chordata; Mammalia; Rodentia; Sciuridae. The record is from RNAcentral.